Molecule: ribosomal RNA, 507 nt
Filed under: uncultured bacterium
Lineage: Bacteria
Description: partial 16S ribosomal RNA
Rfam family: Bacterial small subunit ribosomal RNA
Source: RNAcentral
GUCGAACGCUGGCGGCGUGCCUAAUACAUGCAAGUCGAACGCAUUUUCUUUCACCGUAGCUUGCUACACCGAAAGAAACUGAGUGGCGAACGGGUGAGUAACACGUGGGUAACCUGCCCAUCAGCGGGGGAUAACACUUGGAAACAGGUGCUAAUACCGCAUAAUUCCAUUUACCGCAUGGUAGAUGGAUGAAAGGCGCUUUUGCGUCACUGAUGGAUGGACCCGCGGUGCAUUAGCUAGUUGGUGGGGUAACGGCCUACCAAGGCUGCGAUGCAUAGCCGACCGGAGAGGGUGAUCGGCCACACUGGGACGGAGACACGGCCCAGACUCCUACGGGAGGCAGCAGUAGGGAAUCGUCGGCAAGGGACACAAGUCUGACCGAGCAACGCCGCGUGAGUGAAGAAGGUUUUCGGAUCGUAAAACUCUGUUGUUAGAGAAGAACAAGGAUGAGAGUGGAAAGUUCAUCCCUUGACGGUAUCUAACCAGAAAGCCACGGCUAACUACGUG